AUUGAACGCUGGCGGCAGGCUUAACACAUGCAAGUCGAGCGGUAACAGGGGGUGCUUGCACCCCGCUGACGAGCGGCGGACGGGUGAGUAAUGCUUAGGAAUCUGCCCAGUAGUGGGGGAUAGCCCGGGGAAACCCGGAUUAAUACCGCAUACGUCCUACGGGAGAAAGCAGGGGAUCUUCGGACCUUGCGCUAUUGGAUGAGCCUAAGUCGGAUUAGCUAGUUGGUGGGGUAAAGGCCUACCAAGGCAACGAUCCGUAGCUGGUUUGAGAGGAUGAUCAGCCACAUCGGGACUGAGACACGGCCCGAACUCCUACGGGAGGCAGCAGUGGGGAAUAUUGGACAAUGGGGGCAACCCUGAUCCAGCCAUGCCGCGUGUGUGAAGAAGGCUUUCGGGUUGUAAAGCACUUUCAGUAAGGAGGAAAACCUUACGGUUAAUAACCGUGAGGCUUGACGUUACUUACAGAAGAAGCACCGGCUAACUCCGUGCCAGCAGCCGCGGUAAUACGGAGGGUGCAAGCGUUAAUCGGAAUUACUGGGCGUAAAGCGCGCGUAGGUGGUUCGAUAAGCGGGAUGUGAAAGCCCCGGGCUUAACCUGGGAACGGCAUUCCGAACUGUCGAGCUAGAGUAUGGUAGAGGGUAGUGGAAUUUCCUGUGUAGCGGUGAAAUGCGUAGAUAU
This 678-nucleotide ribosomal RNA is filed under the name uncultured bacterium. Its description in RNAcentral is "bacterial SSU rRNA". It matches the Rfam family "Bacterial small subunit ribosomal RNA", at positions 28 to 697 of the family's 1533-position model. The record is from RNAcentral.